UUGGUCAUUUAGAGGAAGUAAAAGUCGUAACAAGGUCUCCGUAGGUGAACCUGCGGAGGGAUCAUUACACAAAUAUGAAGGCGGGCUGGAACCUCUCGGGGUUACAGCCUUGCUGAAUUAUUCACCCUUGUCUUUUGCGUACUUCUUGUUACCUUGGUGGGUUCGCCCACCACUAGGACAAACAUAAACCUUUUGUAAUUGCAAUCAGCGUCAGUAACAAAUUAAUAAUUACAGCUUUCAACAACGGAUCUCUUGGUUCUGGCAUCGAUGAAGAACGCAGCGAAAUGCGAUAAGUAGUGUGAAUUGCAGAAUUCAGUGAAUCAUCGAAUCUUAGAACGCACAUUGCGCCCUUUGGUAUUCCAAAGGGCAUGCCUGUUCGAGCGUCAUUUGUACCCUCAAGCUUUGCUUGGUGUUGGGCGUCUUGUCUCUAGCUUUGCUGGAGACUCGCCUUAAAGUAAUUGGCAGCCGGCCUACUGGUUUCGGAGCGCAGCACAAGUCGCACUCUCUAUCAGCAAAGGUCUAGCAUCCAUUAAGCCUUUUUUUCAACUUUUGACCUCGGAUCAGGUAGGGAUACCCGCUGAACUUAAGCAUAUCAAUAAG
This 600-nucleotide ribosomal RNA is filed under the name uncultured fungus. Its description in RNAcentral is "eukaryotic LSU rRNA". The stretch from base 233 to 386 matches the Rfam family "5.8S ribosomal RNA". The record is from RNAcentral. Lineage: Eukaryota; Fungi.